RNAcentral lists this ribosomal RNA (265 nucleotides) under uncultured bacterium. RNAcentral describes it as "partial 16S ribosomal RNA". The record is from RNAcentral.
CUGCUGCCUCCCGUAGGAGUUUGGGCCGUGUCUCAGUCCCAAUGUGGCCGAUCAACCUCUCAGUUCGGCUACGCAUCAUUGCCUUGGUAAGCCUUUACCCCACCAACUAGCUAAUGCGUCGCGGGCCCAUCCAAAAGCGGUAGCAUAGCCACCUUUUACAUAGUUACCAUGCGGUAACUAUGGUUAUGCGGUAUUAGCACCUGUUUCCAAGUGUUAUCCCCCUCUUUUGGGCAGGUUGCCCCACGUGUUACUCACCCGUUCGCCA